This 71-nucleotide transfer RNA is filed under the name Lepisosteus oculatus (spotted gar). It matches the Rfam family "tRNA". From Rfam's summary of the family: Transfer RNA (tRNA) molecules are approximately 80 nucleotides in length. Lineage: Eukaryota; Metazoa; Chordata; Actinopteri; Semionotiformes; Lepisosteidae. The record is from Rfam by way of RNAcentral.
GGGGAUGUGGCUCAGUGUUAGAGUGCAUGCUUUGCACGUAUGAGGCCUCGGGUUCAUUCCUGGCAUCUACA